GAUGAACGCUGGCGGCGUGCCUAAUACAUGCAAGUCGAGCGAACGGACGAGAAGCUUGCUUCUCUGAUGUUAGCGGCGGACGGGUGAGUAACACGUGGAUAACCUACCUAUAAGACUGGGAUAACUUCGGGAACCCGGAGCUAAUACCGGAUGAUAUUUUGAACCGCAUGGAUCAAAAGUGAAAGACGGUCUUGCUGUCACUUAUAGAUGGAUCCGCGCUGCAUUAGCUAGUUGGUAAGGUAAAGGCUUACCAAGGCAACGAUGCGUAGCCGACCUGAGAGGGUGAUCGGCCACACUGGAACUGAGACACGGUCCAGACUCCUACGGGAGGCAGCAGUAGGGAAUCUUCCGCAAUGGGCGAAAGCCUGACGGAGCAACGCCGCGUGAGUGAUGAAGGUCUUCGGAUCGUAAAGCUCUGUUAUUAGGGAAGAACAUAUGUGUAAGUAACUGUGCACGUCUUGACGGUACCUAAUCAGAAAGCCACGGCUAACUACGUG
This 497-nucleotide ribosomal RNA is filed under the name uncultured bacterium. RNAcentral describes it as "partial 16S ribosomal RNA". It matches the Rfam family "Bacterial small subunit ribosomal RNA", at positions 28 to 507 of the family's 1533-position model. The record is from RNAcentral.